This 522-nucleotide ribosomal RNA is filed under the name uncultured bacterium. RNAcentral's name for it is "bacterial SSU rRNA". It matches the Rfam family "Bacterial small subunit ribosomal RNA", at positions 8 to 518 of the family's 1533-position model. The record is from RNAcentral.
AGAGUUGAUCCUGGCUCAGAACGAACGCUGGCGGCGCGUCUUAAGCAUGCAAGUCGGGCGGCAAGGAUGUGCUUGCACAUCCCUAGAGCGGCGGACUGGUGAGUAACGCGUGGGUGACGCACCCCCCGGACGGGGAUAGCCUGUGGAAACACAGGGUAAUACCGGAUACGGUUCCGUGAGCUGGAGUCACGGAAGGAAAGGAGCUUCGGCUCCGCCGGGGGAGCGGCCUGCGGCCCAUCAGCUGGUUGGCGGGGUAAAGGCCCACCAAGGCGACGACGGGUACCCGGCCUGAGAGGGCGACCGGGCACAUUGGGACUGAGAUACGGCCCAGACUCCUACGGGAGGCAGCAGCUAAAAAUAUUCCGCAAUGCGCGAAAGCGUGACGGAGCGACGCCGCGUGGACGAUGAAGGCCGGAAGGUUGCAGAGUCCUUUGGCACGCGAGGAAGGAGCGGGGGAGGAAAUGAUCCCGCGGUGACUGUAGCGUGAGAACAAGCACCGGCUAAUUACGUGCCAGCCGCCGC